This 394-nucleotide long non-coding RNA is filed under the name Amborella trichopoda. RNAcentral's name for it is "long non-coding RNA (ATRI_LNC003258)". Lineage: Eukaryota; Viridiplantae; Streptophyta; Magnoliopsida; Amborellales; Amborellaceae. The record is from RNAcentral.
GAGAGAGAGAGAGAGAGAGAGAGAGAGAGGAAAGUGGGAGACAAUCCAGUAAAAGAGAAGAGGAGGGAACAAAGGAAAAGAGGGAAUAGGAGGCCAGCUCUAAACAAAUAAACUGUAUAUAAAACACUCUCAGGAAUUUCAAACCACUAUAAAGUAACAUGAAAUACCAUAACAAAGCACACUAAGGCCCUCUAAGGAUCAAGCUCCAUCUUUGGCAUUAACCUGAGUAAGAAGAUACAUGGUCUUUGAAGCCCUCGAGACCUGAGAAGACCACAAUAUGAUAACAAUCCUCAAAAAGAACGAAAUUCCCAUCUUAAGCAUUAACCUACUGACUAGAGAAGAGAUUGGAAGAAAGGGAAUACGGUUGAAAGCCAAGAAAAUGACUACAACAAAA